RNAcentral lists this ribosomal RNA (440 nucleotides) under uncultured bacterium. RNAcentral describes it as "partial 16S ribosomal RNA". It matches the Rfam family "Bacterial small subunit ribosomal RNA", at positions 338 to 795 of the family's 1533-position model. The record is from RNAcentral.
CCUACGGGAGGCAGCAGUGAGGAAUAUUGGUCAAUGGGGGCAACCCUGACCCAGCCAUGCCGCGUGAGUGAAGAAGGUCUUCGGAUUGUAAAGCUCUUUCGAACUUGACGUUGAUGACGGUAGCGUCUAAAGAUGGUCUGUCAAACUUCGUGCCAGCAGCCGCGGUAAUACGGAGGGUGCGAGCGUUGUUCGGAAUUACUGGGCGUAAAGGGAGUGUAGGCGGUUAUGUAAGAUAGCGGUGAAAUGCUGGGGCUCAACCCCGGAACUGCCAUUAUGACUAUGUAUCUAGAGUAAUGGAGAGGAUAGCGGAAUACCCAGUGUAGAGGUGAAAUUCGUAGAUAUUGGGUAGAACACCGGUGGCGAAGGCGGCUAUCUGGCCAUUUACUGACGCUGAGGCUCGAAAGCAUGGGGAUCAAACAGGAUUAGAUACCCUUGUAGUC